AGUGAACGCUGGCGGUAGGCCUAACACAUGCAAGUCGAACGGCAGCACAGUAAGAGCUCGCUCUUACGGGUGGCGAGUGGCGGACGGGUGAGGAGUACAUCGGAAUCUACUUUUUCGUGGGGGAUAACGUAGGGAAACUUACGCUAAUACCGCAUACGACCUACGGGUGAAAGCAGGGGAUCUUCGGACCUUGCGCGAUUGAAUGAGCCGAUGUCGGAUUAGCUAGUUGGCGGGGUAAAGGCCCACCAAGGCGACGAUCCGUAGCUGGUCUGAGAGGAUGAUCAGCCACACUGGAACUGAGACACGGUCCAGACUCCUACGGGAGGCAGCAGUGGGGAAUAUUGGACAAUGGGCGCAAGCCUGAUCCAGCCAUACCGCGUGGGUGAAGAAGGCCUUCGGGUUGUAAAGCCCUUUUGUUGGGAAAGAAAAGCAGCAGGUUAAUACCCCGCUGUUCUGACGGUACCCAAAGAAUAAGCACCGGCUAACUUCGUG
Molecule: ribosomal RNA, 492 nt
Filed under: uncultured bacterium
Lineage: Bacteria
Description: partial 16S ribosomal RNA
Rfam family: Bacterial small subunit ribosomal RNA
Source: RNAcentral